GUUAUCUGGCAUUUUAUGAAAUGAUGUUUGGAAACUUGCAAUGAAUUUAUAGGUCUUGUUUUUCCUGAUUGCAUUACUUUCUAAUUCAGUGGACGUUGGUGUUGCCUAGAGAAGUGUGAAUGGAGAUGUAUCCUUAGUGUUAAUAAGUAAUAUCUUGUUCAUUACUGUUGCUUGUUAUUCAAGGACAUAAUUGUUUCUGUAGUUGCCAAAGAUGGGACAUGCUUUUUUUCAAAGUUGUUAUUUUAAUAAGGGACAUGCUUUUU
Molecule: unclassified non-coding RNA, 263 nt
Filed under: Hevea brasiliensis (rubber tree)
Lineage: Eukaryota; Viridiplantae; Streptophyta; Magnoliopsida; Malpighiales; Euphorbiaceae
Source: RNAcentral